GCCGGAGUGGCGGAAUUGGUAGACGCGCUGGACUCAAAAUCCAGUGAGGCUCAAACUUCGUGCCGGUUCGAGUCCGGCCUUCGGUA
RNAcentral lists this transfer RNA (86 nucleotides) under bacterium BRH_c32. Its description in RNAcentral is "tRNA-Leu". It matches the Rfam family "tRNA". Rfam says of the family: Transfer RNA (tRNA) molecules are approximately 80 nucleotides in length. Their secondary structure includes four short double-helical elements and three loops (D, anti-codon, and T loops). The record is from RNAcentral. RNAcentral also lists the same sequence under 1 other name.